Molecule: long non-coding RNA, 806 nt
Organism: Gastrolobium bilobum
Lineage: Eukaryota; Viridiplantae; Streptophyta; Magnoliopsida; Fabales; Fabaceae
Exons: 3
Source: RefSeq, a predicted model, not a curated record
UCUUAUUCAAUAUUCUCUCAUUCUGUUAUUAUGAGUUAUAAGUGUUUUGUAUUGGAAAAUUGUUUGGAGUAAUGAAAAUUAUCAAGAAUAGAUUGUAAGUACUAUUGCAGAGGAGUUGUGGAGGAGGGUUUGGAGCUUUAUCAGAAAAAGAAUUUGAUGCAGUGGUAGGAGAUAUAACGAUCAUGGCUAAGAGGUCCUUGUAUGUGGACUUCACGUUGCCCUUCACCAAAACUUGGAUUUUCUUGAAGCCCUUGACAUGGGAACUCUGGCUCACAAUUGGUUGCUUCUUUGUGUUUACUGGCUUUGUGGUUUGGCUUCUUAUACACCAAGUCAAUUAAGAAUUUAGAGGUUCUCUAUCACAUCAAGUCAGCGCUAUCUUUUGGUUUUCCGUCUCAACAUUGGUCUUUGAACAAAGGGAGAGAGUCCAGAGCUACAUGGCUAGGUAUGUGGUCAUCAUAUGGAAUUUUGUGGUUGAAAGGUAUCAGAAUAUAUUGAGAAUGAAGACUACGACACGGUUCAGGAUGAUGUUGAGGGCAUUGAAGCCACAAGCUUACCCCAUCAUGAAGUAUAGGCCCAAUUAUAUUUUGUUUUGUUGAUGUAUAUGUAAAGAACCAAUUCAACCCAAAAGCUUAAGCUGUUAGAUGAGGCUGUAUUAAUUGUUUUAUAUAUCUCAACACGCCCCCUCACACGAGAGCAUUCCACAAGAGAAAGUGGGGGCGGUGAGGAUCGAACCCGUGAUCUUGUGGUCACUCAAGCUCUGAUACCAUGUAAAGAACCAAUUUAACCUAAAAGCUUAAGCUGUUGGG